GACUUCAAGGCAUUUGAAGUAAAGUUAAGAGCAGUUUUAGCAGGUGUCAGUUAGACAGCUGGUUUGGCUGUGGAGUUCAGUGUAUUUUCGACUGUAACCUUGCUCUUAGUGUGCUAGCCUAGCACGCAGCUAGCUUUUGUUUCAGUUUGGCAGGCUUAGCCAAACUAGUCCAGAACACGGAUUCAUUGUUCAUGGUGAACGUGGAACUUUUGCUGUACCGCUGCCGAGAAAUUAGUGAGACUGUGACCGAAAGCUCUUCGUUCCAAGCACCGUUGUGGGAAGCCUCGACGGCGUCGAGAGAGACAGAGAGAGCAAGAGUGUGAGUGGAUCGUCGCGUUGUUGCGGGUGACGUGACUUCGCUGUGGGCGAGCGGGUAGAGCCUCGACGGAGGGUAGUAAUGAGCCAGGAGUGAGACACCACCCAGGAGUUCAGCCCGGGUGUGGAAAUGUCCUCCAGAGGAUGGUGGGUCAGCCUGAUCUCCGCCUCCUCCUCUCUCUGACGUCCCCUUGGACCCGCUAAUACCUGCUGCCUUUCAGAACCAUGCUCUGAGCACACUCCACACACUAAUGGCUUCUUUUGUGAGCUGGAAAUGGAGCUUGGGGGACAGGAAAUGAGCAAAAAACGAAGAAAUCUCAUCCGCUCCACCGCUGCGAGAAAGAGAGAGACACUUCUGUUACACUGUAGCUCAUAGGGCUCAGAGGAAGCAGCCAACCAGAAGAUAGACAGAUACAUAAAUAGAUAGAGAAAUAGAGAUACAGUUUUGUCAACAUUUAGAAUCAUGGUUGUCAUGAAAGAUGUCAUGACCAUCUUUCUUUGCCGACUGGAACUUUGUUUGAAACUGUCAUUGAAGGGGCACCGAUACAAAAUUAAACCUGUUCCAUGGUGUUUAGAUCUGUAGCCUUAUUGGCUGACUUAACGUAGGCUUAAUGAGCUACAGACCAAAACAGUGGCAUACCCCGUAGUACAGACUUGAUCCUGACUAACAGGUGCUCUGCUGAAACAAGUGUAGAUGAUAAAAACUAAUGUGGUGUUGGAAUGACAAAGAUUUGUUCUGUGGUAUCUAGGACUGUAGUGUUUUGGGUAGGCUAACGACAGCUUAGUAGGACAAACAUGCCACCCAUCAGCACAGGCUUGGUUCCAGCUAACUGAUGCUAAAAUAACAUGUUUAUAUCUGAGAUGAUAUCUGAGAGAAUACAGUUGAGUGAAUGAUGUUAGAGCAAAGGCUGAAAUAUAAAGUGUCAUAAAUGGUCAAUUUAUUUGGCCCAGAUUUGGCCCAUAUAUAGUGGACCUGUGGAUGAGUUGACGCAGCCAGACUUAUCCUGAGUCUUAUCCUGAUUCACGGCCAAAUGUGGCCAUAAGAGAAUGGCAGAUGUGGGCUACCUUUGGGCCAAAAAUUCAUUGCUAUCUUGGGGGUGGAAGGUUGCAUUAUAUUUUAGCUGUGAAAUUAAAAAAAAUUGAAUAUUUCACCAAGAAA
Molecule: long non-coding RNA, 1474 nt
Organism: Pygocentrus nattereri (red-bellied piranha)
Lineage: Eukaryota; Metazoa; Chordata; Actinopteri; Characiformes; Serrasalmidae
Exons: 2
Source: RefSeq, a predicted model, not a curated record